RNAcentral lists this ribosomal RNA (253 nucleotides) under uncultured bacterium. Its description in RNAcentral is "partial 16S ribosomal RNA". It matches the Rfam family "Bacterial small subunit ribosomal RNA", at positions 524 to 776 of the family's 1533-position model. The record is from RNAcentral.
UACAGAGACUGCGAGCGUUACUCGGAUUCACUGGGCGUAAAGGGUGCGUAGGCGGCUAAAUGUGUCAGAUGUGAAAUCCCGGGGCUCAACUCCGGAACUGCGUCUGAAACUAUUUAGCUAGAGACUCGGCGAGGUAAGCGGAAUUCCAAGUGUAGUAGUGAAAUGCGUAGAUAUUUGGAGGAACACCGAAGGCGAAGGCAGCUUACUGGAAGAGUUCUGACGCUGAGGCACGAAAGCGUGGGGAUCAAAAGGG